Molecule: long non-coding RNA, 1376 nt
Filed under: Numida meleagris (helmeted guineafowl)
Lineage: Eukaryota; Metazoa; Chordata; Aves; Galliformes; Numididae
Description: lncRNA (ENSNMEG00000007079.1)
Source: RNAcentral
UCAGUUGCUCUCAGUGGGCCCUUACGCAUUUCCUUAAGCACCUCUUUAUAUAUAACCUUCAAAAUGGACAUUAAUGUAGGGUUUUAAAAGUUGUGUCCCAAGAUACAUGUACCUGCUAUCCUCUUUUCAUAAAGUGCAAACAAAUAACUUUAAAUCUUUUUCAUUAUUUUAUAUUUAGGAGAUUUUCAAACCGUAUAUUGAAUAUUAUACUCCACAGCAUGGAGGACUCUCAACAUAAGAAGUAAAAGAGUGAACUGAACACAUAAAAUGUUAAAAUCAAAGAAUUUAAAAACACAUAGGGUAGAUUUACAUUAUCUUUUUGCUUUUUUCCCCCUUUUGUUGCCAUUAGAUUCAUGACCUGCCAAUACUUUGCUAGACCUUUUUUCUUAUAACUAUUUUUUUUUUUUAAUUUUCAGCUUUGCACCAGGGAUGUCAUUGAGCCUACACUAGCUCAUCACCACAGUGACAGAAUUACCACAGAAUUAAGAAUGUUGCAACACCGACUUGAAUGGCCUUUUGCACUCUUUACACCGAUACAGUGAAGAAUGCAGUCUUACAGAACCCUCUACUCUGGUUCUACAUUUGUUAUGAAUUUCUUCAAUCUGUAUGAAACUCCACAGCCCAUUUAGGCACUAGUCCAGUCUUGAUUGUGCCCAUAACUGCAGCAAAAAUGCCUCCAGAAGUGGCAGAUGCUGGGGACAGAUAGAGCCCAUGUUUGUUGCUGCUGAGGAAGAGGAGAAUCAACCUGAGGAGGAAAAGUCAUCGAUAAAGAGCCUGGUGUGAAAUACAGAAAGGGAAACAGGCUAAAGGCUUGUAGGACCUCAGAAGAGGAGUGCUUUCCUUGAGCAGAGAUGUCUUAGCAUCACAUUCUCUUGCUAUGACAGUAUUCUGUUCUUUAUGAACUUGAACAGUCUCUUAAGCAAUUAUUGAUAUAAAUUGAUAAAUAUUGAUAUAUAUUGAAAAUUAGCAAUUAGUGACAUAAUACUCAUUAUUAUGUCAGGGCAUAGAGAAUAUUCAAAAGCCCUAUCAGAUGGUAGAUAAGUGCAGGAAAGCCUUGUGAAGUGAACAAGCUUUUGACUACUUAGCUAACCAGUAAUUUUCAUUAAAUGUGGGACUUUCAUUAAAUGAGUGAAGAUGUUUCUUAUGUUGUAAUGGAAUGGGAAAUUCCCCUAUAGAUGUAGAAUAAUCUAAGGUAAUUGAAUUGAUGAUUAUUUUACACUAUGUAAAUUCACAAAAGAUUUGAUAUAAUUUCUACAUGUUUUUAUGGCAAGACUUGAAUCCUGGACAGCCUAGGUAGAGUAGUAUAGAAGUUUAUUUUACAGCUAAAAAUACCACUUGAAUAUUCCCUAAUGGCUUUGUCUGGACAACACAGUAUC